RNAcentral lists this ribosomal RNA (253 nucleotides) under uncultured bacterium. RNAcentral's name for it is "partial 16S ribosomal RNA". It matches the Rfam family "Bacterial small subunit ribosomal RNA", at positions 524 to 776 of the family's 1533-position model. The record is from RNAcentral.
UACGUAGGGUGCAAGCGUUAUCCGGAAUUAUUGGGCGUAAAGAGCUCGUAGGCGGUUUGUCGCGUCUGCUGUGAAAACUGGAGGCUCAACCUCCAGCCUGCAGUGGGUACGGGCAGACUAGAGUGCGGUAGGGGAGAUUGGAAUUCCUGGUGUAGCGGUGGAAUGCGCAGAUAUCAGGAGGAACACCGAUGGCGAAGGCAGAUCUCUGGGCCGUAACUGCCGCUGAGGAGCGAAAGCAUGGGGAGCGAACAGG